UUAGUUGAUAUAUAGUCGCUCUAUAAAUUUUGACUUAACGCAAAUUGUUUUGCCAGAUUUUUGGUUUGUUUUAGUGCCAGUACAAGUGCAGUGGCGCAGGCGGCCGCCUUGCCACCACCGCACGUCCACCCGUGCGACGACGAGUCGAAAUUGACUUGAGGUGUUAAUUGCGCUACGGGUGGGUGUGUUUUUUCGGUUCGUUCGACUUUCGAAAUUGCAUAUGACUGCUGGAUAUUAAUGGUGCCAACGUAUCUAUGUCGAGUCCAAACUAAAUUAAUAUGUGCACAGCACAAGUGUGUUUAUCCCUCUUGGCUUCCACUGAUCUACUUUUCGACUGACUCGACUAAUUGUAAUGAAUGCCGAGAUUCUGAAUACUCGACAGAAGGUAGGAACGUCAGUGAGUACAUCAGAACCUUGAAACUCACUUCGAAAAAGACGUUAUUUCAAAAUUUUUGGUCUUAUCACUUAUUGGUUUGAUCUGGAAAGUGAAUCUUAGGUUUGAACUUCCUGAAACUCACUAUGAAAAGUGUUAUUUUAAAAGUUCUGAACUUAUCACUUACUGGUUUGGCCUGCAAAGCAGAAUUGAUUUCAAUAAAUGGAAACAGAGAUGGUAUCCCACGUCGGAUCUGCAGUGGGACUCUCUGAACCCUGAAAAUAAGUUAUUUCAAACCUCUGUUCAUUUCACUUACUAUUUUGUAGAGAAAUACUAACUGUUGGUACUAAAACGGGUACAGAGGUGAGUGCUUACAUCUAGAACUCUUAACUAAAGUUUACUAAAUUCCUAAUAGAACACUUUUAACGACAACUUGAAGAAUUUUCAGAAACACUUGGAUCCCUUAACUGAAAUACCCACUCAAUAAAAAAUAACUAAAUUAUUUAACAUCUCAAAGACAGUCCUUUCAGUAAUAUACACAAAGAAUGUUAAUCCCUUAAUUUCUGAGCGUUAAAAUUAUUCCAAUCUUGCCUUAUUUGGAAUGAAUCUUAAUACCUCUGAGCUGUGCGCGGUCACGUUCUUUAAAGAAUGCUGAGGCAAUACACAAACACGCUGACAGUACGGCUGAGCAUCCUGCGCUUAAGCAUCAACAUUCGAAAACUGCCUCAGAGCAAGAAUCAAAUUAAGCAGAACAGAAAACCGAAAAAUCAAAAAAUAAAAACAAACUUCACAACAGCAAACCACAACUACAAAGCGACUAGGCAAACGUAACGAAGUGGAACUCAUCACCAAACCAAUAUAGACAACAACAAAAAUGAAAAGAGAAUAAGCUUUCAAAACCAAAAAUGGCAAAACCGCUGCACUAUAAUAACAAGAACAAAAGGGAAAUAAAAAAGAUUCUUCAGCGAACGGCGACAGCGACGACAGGCAGCAAGCGGCGAGGCAGCGAGUAAAUGAAGUGCGUGGGCGCAGGCGCAGGUGAUUUUAAUCGGUUGCCAGGAAUCUGACGCAAACAGGUGAAUAACCAACUUGGGCCGCAUGCAAAGCAUGGCACACGGCAUACCUGCGGAAAGCAUUGCACAACAACAACAAUAAUAACAAUGAUAAUGAAGCUGCGCACAAAAUUAAAUCAAGCGAACGAAGGAGCCGCAAGGCUCCAAGUACGGACGGCAUGGAAAAGAUGAGCCAUAGCCAAUGAGCUUUAAAGAAAUUAAUAAACCAAAAAAACAACAACGAGAAAGAAGCAACCAAAUAAAGUGUAGAAUCACGAAUUUCGCUGCGAGAUAUGCAAAAAAGCACAUUGCAGCAAAUUGAAUUUGCGACCGGCCAGUGGACAACGGCAGCCACAGAGUCAGGGUAUAAGGGUAAUAUUAUGGAUAAGGAUGAGCCUGCUUGUUAAGUAUGGUAGCCGCAGCAAUAAGAGUCCGACAUUGAAGAGGAUCUUUGUGGUAUGUAGUUGAGGAAAAAAGCGCAAACUUCGCAGUUUCGCAUAAAUUUCAUGAAUUUUUUGAACCUGUCGUAGAGGCGCGAUGGCGAUAUGAGCAUUUGCAACCAUACGAAGCUACAGGCUGCUGGCCAAAAUCAGACUUUUAGUUGGCGUCGAAACUCGUGCGAAGCGCUUAAUCUGCAUAUACAAGCCAUAAAACAAUUUCCAUAUGCGCGCAUGCGCAAAAGCGAGCGCGUAACAACGCGUCAGAAUACAGGCGUAUAACAAGCACCGCACACGGCCAACUAACUGGCAGUGGAAGGAACACGAUUAACUAUGAUGAUGUGUAGUUGGCAUUCACAUUCGUAUUCGGAUUUGUAUUCGAUCCGAGCUCGGUUGUCUUCCCGCGGUUUACUAAAUGGGUUGGUCUCUAGAGUAUAAAAUGUUCCCGUGCCAGUGAGAUAAAGAAGUGUCCGUAGUGUCGAGAAUAUUGCUGCCGCUAUCGCAUCAAUUGAGGAAGACCCAAAUCAGUCCCUCACACGCCGUUCUUAAGCGUUGGAUAUCUCUGUGUUGUCGUUGUGGUAAAUUUUGCGAAAAGGUCUAGACCUACAUCCUUACAAGAUCAAAUUGACGCAAGAACUGAAGCUGCUUGACCACCAGAAUUGUCGUAUGUUUUUGAAUUGGGUUGAGCAACUUAAAAAUACUACGGAUUUUCAUCGAAAAAUCAUCUUCAGCGAAGAGGCUCAUUUCUGACUGAAUGGCUUCGUCAAUAAGCAAAAUAAGGUCAGGCCGCAAUCCACACGUACUGCAUCAGUCACCAUUGAAGCCCGA
Molecule: long non-coding RNA, 2690 nt
Organism: Zeugodacus cucurbitae (melon fly)
Lineage: Eukaryota; Metazoa; Arthropoda; Insecta; Diptera; Tephritidae
Exons: 3
Source: RefSeq, a predicted model, not a curated record